ACUCCUACGGGAGGCAGCAGUGGGGAAUAUUGCACAAUGGGGGAAACCCUGAUGCAGCCAUGCCGCGUGUGUGAAGAAGGCCUUCGGUUGUAAAGCACUUUCAGUAGGGAGGAAGGUAGUGUAGUUAACACCUGCAUUAUUUGUACGUUACCUACAGAAGAAGCACCGGCUAACUCCGUGCCAGCAGCCGCGGUAAUACGGAGGGUGCGAGCGUUAAUCGGAAUUACUGGGCGUAAAGCGCAUGCAGGCGGCCUGUUAAGUCAGAUGUGAAAGCCCGGGGCUUAACCUCGGAAUUGCAUUUGAAACUGGCAGGCUAGAGUCUUGUAGAGGGGUUAGGAAUUUCAGGUGUAGCGGUGAAAUGCGUAGAGAUCUGAAGG
RNAcentral lists this ribosomal RNA (377 nucleotides) under uncultured bacterium. Its description in RNAcentral is "bacterial SSU rRNA". It matches the Rfam family "Bacterial small subunit ribosomal RNA", at positions 335 to 704 of the family's 1533-position model. The record is from RNAcentral.